AGAUUACAGACUUCGGUUCAGAAC
This 24-nucleotide non-coding RNA is filed under the name Arabidopsis thaliana (thale cress). Lineage: Eukaryota; Viridiplantae; Streptophyta; Magnoliopsida; Brassicales; Brassicaceae. The record is from RNAcentral.